UACAGAGACUGCAAGCGUUAUUCGGAUUCACUGGGCGUAAAGGGUGCGCAGGCGGUUGGGUGUGUCAGAUGUGAAAUCCCGAGGCUCAACCUCGGAACUGCGUCUGAAACUACUCGACUAGAGUACUGGAGAGGGUAACGGAAUUCACGGUGUAGCAGUGAAAUGCGUAGAUAUCGUGAGGAACACCAGAGGCGAAGGCGGCUACCUGGACCGGUUCUGACGCUGAUGCGCGAAAGCGUGGGUAGCAAACAGG
Molecule: ribosomal RNA, 253 nt
Filed under: uncultured bacterium
Lineage: Bacteria
Description: partial 16S ribosomal RNA
Rfam family: Bacterial small subunit ribosomal RNA
Source: RNAcentral